This 31-nucleotide ribosomal RNA is filed under the name Trichoderma harzianum. Its description in RNAcentral is "partial 28S ribosomal RNA". Lineage: Eukaryota; Fungi; Ascomycota; Sordariomycetes; Hypocreales; Hypocreaceae. The record is from RNAcentral.
GUGAACCUUCGUAUCAGGAAAAUCUCAGUAC